Mycena rebaudengoi is the source of this 93-nucleotide non-coding RNA. NCBI's taxonomy places the organism in Eukaryota, Fungi, Basidiomycota, Agaricomycetes, Agaricales, Mycenaceae. The record is from the annotation of a GenBank genome assembly.
GACCCAGUGGUGUAGUGGAAACACACUUGUUAAAUUUCAUAUAGAGGAUCCCCAAGUAUGUAAGAGCUCUCUGUUCAAGUCAGGGCUGGGUCA